GCCGGAUUGGCGCAACUGGAAGCGCAACCGCCUUGUAAGCGGAAGGUUGCGGGUUCGACUCCCGUGUCCGGCUCCA
RNAcentral lists this transfer RNA (76 nucleotides) under Mycobacterium koreense. RNAcentral's name for it is "Mycolicibacillus koreensis tRNA-Thr". It matches the Rfam family "tRNA". From Rfam's summary of the family: Transfer RNA (tRNA) molecules are approximately 80 nucleotides in length. The record is from RNAcentral. Lineage: Bacteria; Bacillati; Actinomycetota; Actinomycetes; Mycobacteriales; Mycobacteriaceae.